RNAcentral lists this ribosomal RNA (468 nucleotides) under uncultured bacterium. RNAcentral describes it as "partial 16S ribosomal RNA". It matches the Rfam family "Bacterial small subunit ribosomal RNA", at positions 28 to 507 of the family's 1533-position model. The record is from RNAcentral.
GACGAACGCUGGCGGCGUGCUUAACACAUGCAAGUCGAACGGACAGGCCCUGCUUUUGUGGGGUGCUCGAGUGGCGAACGGGUGAGUAACACGUGAGUAACCUGCCCUUGACUUUGGGAUAACUUCAGGAAACUGGGGCUAAUACCUGAUAGGAGCUCCUGCUGCAUGGUGGGGGUUGGAAAGUUUCGGCGGUUGGGGAUGGACUCUCCGCUUAUCAGCUUGUUGGUGGGGUAGUGGCUUACCAAGGCUUUGACGGGUAGCCGGCCUGAGAGGGUUACCGGCCACAUUGGGACUGAGAUACGGCCCAGACUGCUACGGGAGGCAGCAGUGGGGAAUAUUGCACAAUGGGCGGAUGCCUGAUGCAGCAACGCCGAGUGCGGGAUGACGGCCUUCGCGUUGUAAACCGCUUUCGCCUGUGACGAAGCGUGAGUGACGGUAAUGGGUAAAGAAGCACCGGCUAACUACGUG